UACUCAUGUCUGAAUAUGGCUAAAGGAGUGACUUGGCUUUUCUAGGCUCCAGUUCUUUAAAUACUAAAUAAGAGCAACAUAGUGGACAACUAGAUAUCUAACCACGUAACUUGGUGACUUGGAAGUUCUUGUGUCUAUGCUUCAUGGAUGGGAAUAGGAGCAAGAAGUUGUUCUUAGUGAUCUCCUUGAUCUACCAAGAAGAGGCCUAAUCUUCUCUGACCUGGAAGAACAACCUCUGAUAAGUGGCUUUGUUCAACUGUUUUGAGUGUGACUCUUAUGUGCUAAGAGCCCUACGACAGACACAGCAGGAAGACCUGGGAUGAGUGGAGUGAUCAAACACCAAGGCAGGAAAGAGGCCACAAUGGAAAGACCCACUCUCUACAUGAGGGUCCAUCCAGGAGGAGAAGCCCAAACUCCAGAGUCUGCUGAGCAUUCUGCACAAGAGGCAGUUCAAGGAGACAAGAAAGAAGAAAUGGAUCUUUAAAAGUACCAUAGCCAGGGUUUCAUGAAGUAGGAAGAUUAUUUUGAAUAUCAAGAACAAUCACAGGAAAAAUAAUCAAUUGAGGGACAAGGGAUCUUCAUGAAAGAGGGGACUCCUGCAUGUCUCAGUGUUCAAAACUAGCAUCAUGGCAGAGGAACAUCGGCUUCUUCAUGGUGCUUCCA
RNAcentral lists this long non-coding RNA (663 nucleotides) under Mus spretus (western wild mouse). RNAcentral's name for it is "lncRNA (ENSMSPG00010003282.1)". The record is from RNAcentral. Lineage: Eukaryota; Metazoa; Chordata; Mammalia; Rodentia; Muridae.